This 197-nucleotide non-coding RNA is filed under the name Actinobacteria bacterium OV320. RNAcentral's name for it is "Streptomyces sRNA 4677". It matches the Rfam family "Streptomyces sRNA 4677". From Rfam's summary of the family: Located in the intergenic region between anti-sigma factor SCO4677 gene and a putative regulatory protein gene SCO4676. scr4677 expression requires the SCO4677 activity and scr4677 sRNA itself seem to affect the levels of the SCO4676-associated transcripts. The record is from Rfam by way of RNAcentral. Lineage: Bacteria; Bacillati; Actinomycetota; Actinomycetes.
UCCUCCCGCCAGUCGGAGCCCUCGCGCGGCACGUCGUCGAGCGUGCCCUCGAUCACCACCUCGUAGGCGGGUGACCGGCUUGCAGCAACGGGAUGCGGACGGUUACGUUCGCCGCGACCACCACAAACGAAUACGGCCCCCGGUCGGGACGGCAAUCCCGAACGAGGGCCUGACCGAUCAGGAAUCAGACCUUCCCG